Molecule: ribosomal RNA, 979 nt
Filed under: Pseudomonadales bacterium 4-5-22
Lineage: Bacteria; Pseudomonadati; Pseudomonadota; Gammaproteobacteria; Pseudomonadales
Description: bacterial SSU rRNA
Rfam family: Bacterial small subunit ribosomal RNA
Source: RNAcentral
AAUGCCAGUCGAGCGGUAGAGAGAAGCUUGCUUCUCUUGAGAGCGGCGGACGGGUGAGCCUUCCUGGGAAUCUGCCUGGUAGUGGGGGAUAACGUUCGGAAACGGACGCUAAUACCGCAUACGUCCUACGGGAGAAAGCAGGGGAUCUUCGGACCUUGCGCUAUCAGAUGAGCCCAGGUCGGAUUAGCUAGUAGGUGGGGUAAAGGCUCACCUAGGCAACGAUCCGUAACUGGUCUGAGAGGAUGAUCAGUCACACUGGAACUGAGACACGGUCCAGACUCCUACGGGAGGCAGCAGUGGGGAAUAUUGGACAAUGGGCGAAAGCCUGAUCCAGCCAUGCCGCGUGUGUGAAGAAGGUCUUCGGAUUGUAAAGCACUUUAAGUUGGGAGGAAGGGUUGUAGUUUAAUACGCUGCAAUCUUGACGUUACCGACAGAAUAAGCACCGGCUAACUCUGUGCCAGCAGCCGCGGUAAUACAGAGGGUGCAAGCGUUAAUCGGAAUUACUGGGCGUAAAGCGCGCGUAGGUGGCUAAGUAAGAUGGGUGUGAAAUCCCCGGGCUCAACCUGGGAACUGCAUCCAUAACUGCUUAGCUAGAGUACGGUAGAGGGUAGUGGAAUUUCCUGUGUAGCGGUGAAAUGCGUAGAUAUAGGAAGGAACACCAGUGGCGAAGGCGACUACCUGGACUGAUACUGACACUGAGGUGCGAAAGCGUGGGGAGCAAACAGGAUUAGAUACCCUGGUAGUCCACGCCGUAAACGAUGUCAACUAGCCGUUGGGAACCUUGAGUUCUUAGUGGCGCAGCUAACGCACUAAGUUGACCGCCUGGGGAGUACGGUCGCAAGAUUAAAACUCAAAUGAAUUGACGGGGGCCCGCACAAGCGGUGGAGCAUGUGGUUUAAUUCGAAGCAACGCGAAGAAACCUUACCUGGGCUUUGACAUGCUGAGAACUUUCCAGAGAUGGAUUGGUGCCUUCGGGAAC